GUACCAUGAACAAAAAUUUCGAUGUCUGGUAUGGUUUGAAUUAAAAACAUGCAGGGAUUAGGUUUAACACCGAAGUCUGGAUUCGCCCACUUUGUUGCCAUGUUUUCGGCGUUUUAUAGGGCUUGCCUGCAUGACUGGUUAAGAACUAAAUCCCUUGACAGUUUUUAACUCUGUAAAAUCAUCCAUGUACAGUCUUCAAGAUAUUUGUUUAUGGUUCUCACCAAAAUAAUUAAAUUAAAUAAAGGUCACCAAAAUAAUUAAAUUAAAUAAAGGUCCUGUUAGUAAUCCAUGAAAAAAAAUUUCGAUGUCUGGUAUGGUUUGAAUUAAAAACAGGCAGGGAUUAGGUUUAACACCGAAGUCUGGAUUCGCCCACUUUGUUGCCAUGUUUUCGGCGUUUUAUAGGGCUUGCCUCCAAGACUGGUUAAGAACUAAAUCCCUUGACAGUUUUUAACUCUGUAAAAUCA
Molecule: long non-coding RNA, 464 nt
Filed under: Erythranthe guttata (spotted monkey flower)
Lineage: Eukaryota; Viridiplantae; Streptophyta; Magnoliopsida; Lamiales; Phrymaceae
Description: long non-coding RNA (EGUT_LNC003742)
Source: RNAcentral